This 731-nucleotide ribosomal RNA is filed under the name Bacillus sp. DR39. RNAcentral describes it as "bacterial SSU rRNA". It matches the Rfam family "Bacterial small subunit ribosomal RNA", at positions 582 to 1313 of the family's 1533-position model. The record is from RNAcentral. Lineage: Bacteria; Bacillati; Bacillota; Bacilli; Caryophanales; Bacillaceae.
UUUAAGUCUGAUGUGAAAUCUUGCGGCUCAACCGCAAGCGGCCAUUGGAAACUGGGAGGCUUGAGUACAGAAGAGGAGAGUGGAAUUCCACGUGUAGCGGUGAAAUGCGUAGAUAUGUGGAGGAACACCAGUGGCGAAGGCGACUCUCUGGUCUGUAACUGACGCUGAGGCGCGAAAGCGUGGGGAGCAAACAGGAUUAGAUACCCUGGUAGUCCACGCCGUAAACGAUGAGUGCUAGGUGUUAGGGGUUUCGAUGCCCGUAGUGCCGAAGUUAACACAUUAAGCACUCCGCCUGGGGAGUACGGCCGCAAGGCUGAAACUCAAAGGAAUUGACGGGGGCCCGCACAAGCAGUGGAGCAUGUGGUUUAAUUCGAAGCAACGCGAAGAACCUUACCAGGUCUUGACAUCCUUUGACCACUCUGGAGACAGAGCUUCCCCUUCGGGGGCAAAGUGACAGGUGGUGCAUGGUUGUCGUCAGCUCGUGUCGUGAGAUGUUGGGUUAAGUCCCGCAACGAGCGCAACCCUUGACCUUAGUUGCCAGCAUUUAGUUGGGCACUCUAAGGUGACUGCCGGUGACAAACCGGAGGAAGGUGGGGAUGACGUCAAAUCAUCAUGCCCCUUAUGACCUGGGCUACACACGUGCUACAAUGGAUGGUACAAAGGGUUGCGAAGCCGCGAGGUGGAGCCAAUCCCAUAAAGCCAUUCUCAGUUCGGAUUGUAGGCUGCAACUA